AACUAAUUAGUCUAAAAGAAGACAUGUACUUUGAAAGUACAAAAUAAUUAAAAAUUAUUAGUUU
RNAcentral lists this transfer RNA (64 nucleotides) under Ibidoecus bisignatus (glossy ibis head louse). Its description in RNAcentral is "tRNA-Ser". Lineage: Eukaryota; Metazoa; Arthropoda; Insecta; Psocodea; Philopteridae. The record is from RNAcentral.